UCGAGCCGUCAGCAUCCUGAGCGAGCUGUUGCUGCAAAAACUGUUCAGGAAGUAAUGAAUGAAACUAUCGAGACACUUGUAAGAGGGUCUUGCAGAGGAGCAAUAACGAAUGGAGGGAGGAGACCUGUGAAUUGUGCUCUGGACCGUUCUUGAGUUUAGACUUUCAAGAGAGAAGUCAUAAAAUUUAACACGUAGAACUCCUACAUACGCCUAGAACAAGAUGGAGAAAAAGAAUGAAUUGCCUUCACCACAGAAGCAGAGUGUCAAGAGUCGGUCAAAAUCCACCGAUGAGAUUGUGCAAGCCAAAAAGGCUUUUCACACACCUCAGAUAUCCCUGCCUGGAAAACCAGAACUGGAAAAGCUGAAGGAAGCUACUGAAAGUGAAGAAGUCCUUUCCACUUCAGAAGAUGAUGAAGCAUUAGUUGAGAAGGCUCAAAAUUGACCCAGAUUCCUCAUUGUUAUUGAUUAUUGAGUACACAAAAUAUUCUGACUAGGGACGUAGGCCACAGAUGAAUAAUGUAUCCAAGGUCCCUUUCAGCAAUUCACAGAAAUGUGGUUCCCAUACUUCAAUGUUUACUUGUCACUGUAUAUCUUUAAUUGUGUCAGUAAUCAUGAUUAUUGAUUGUGUUGUCUGUGGUGGUGGGCAGUGUUUCUUUAAUCUUACUUGGUAACUGUAUGCAAAAAUUAAAAUUGUAUUUUGUGGGUGAAUCUGCUUAACUGCACUGUCAUGGAGAAACAUGGUCAAAACUGUGCCACAAAUUUUCAUCCAAUAGUUUAGUUAUUUCCCAGACAACGGAUGAAUCAGCAACAUGGUCCUUAACAUUACAAAUCAAGGUAAUUUUUAACUCUCUGCCUAGUAGAGAGUCUUGCAUGCCACAAGCAAUACUCAGAAAUUCAAGGACCACUGCCUACAAAUUGCAGCUUAAACUGCACAGUGCCAUCCUGAACUUUAGAACUGGCCUCCUGCUAUACAGAGAUCUCUUUAGCCACUGAAAGUGACAAAGCGACUCCUGAAAUGUUUACAUUGUAAAUAAAAAGUCCUUGUCUUUGAAUUUGAAAUUUCAUGUUCAUAUUCUGGGUUAUCUUCAUUCACUGUUUUCCACUAGAGAUUUUGCCAAAAAUGAGCCUUCAUUAGUUAUGUUUUCAUUUAUUCUCUUUUUGUUAGUUAGUUCUAUAUUUUUCCUUCGGCUAUUCUAAACUUCUGUAUUGAAGAAAUGAAGCUCAAACGCGAUUAAAUGAAGGGUUGCAGCACAAAACAUCAACUAUUUAUCCCCUCUGUCGAUGUUGCCCGAGUUUCUUCACAAUCUGUGUAGUUUUGACUUAAAAAGAUACAAUGCUGUGACGUUGUCUGCAUUCUAAAAUGUAAUUCUUUGUUGUGUAGUGAAAUCAAGUUUAUUGUCAUUUAAUUAUACAUGUAUAUUGUCAAAUGAGACAACAUUUCUCCGAACCAGCGUGUAAAACUCCAAACCACUAAUAGCAUCAAUAAAAUUAGUGUAGCAUUCUUGUAUGUUUGUUCCUGUGCCAUGGGAAUAAAGUGAGUGACUUUAUGUAGAUGAAUAUUUGCAAGUGUUAAUGUUUUGCCAGUGGUGCUUUGUACUAACAGAAGCAGUUCUGCAGAUGCUGAAAAUCCAACGUAAUUGCAGAGGAACGCAGCAGUUCCAACAGCAUCUAUGUGAAGGAAUAAAGAGUCAACAAUUUGGGCCAAGACCCUUCAACAAGAGUGGAAAAGGAGGAAGGAAAUUAAUAAGGUGGGGAGGGGAAGGAGUACAAGCAGGCAGUUAAUAGGGGAUGAUAUGUUAUGGGUAGGGGAGGGAAUGUAGAGAGCAGCUGGGAGUUGAGGUGAAAAAGAUAAAGGGCAGAAGAAAAAGGAAUCUGAUGGGAGAGAAGAGUUGAUCAUGGGAGAAGGAGGGAGGUGAUGCAGGUGGGAGAAAGUAAAAGGCUGCAAUGGGAAAAGGGGUGAAGUUACAGGAAGGUAGAGCCAUUGGGUUGAAGGCUACCCAGAUGGAAUUUGAGUUGUUGCUCUUCAAGCCUCUGAGUGGUCUCAAUAAUCUGUGGGCCAACAUGUCAGAGCGGGAAGUGGAAUUAAAAUAGUUGGCUACCUAGAAAUUCUCUCUGCUGCAGGUGGAGUGAAGAUGCUUGACAAAGCAGUCUCCAAUCUACAGCAGGUCUCACUGAUUUCAAAUUUGAAUUCAAGUUUAAUUAUCAUUGAAGCAUACAUACAUUCAGCUGAAAGAAACAGCAUUCCUUUGAGGUCGAGGUGCAAAACAUAGACGGCACAUUCAGCUAAAGAGAUUGUUUGGGACUCUGAAUGGUGCCGAGGGAGUUUGUGAAUGGGCAGGUGUAGCACUUACACCACUUGCAAGGAUAGUGCCAGGAGCUCACUGAGGUGGGAUGAAUGGCACUGAUAAUUGAUGACUAUUUGCAUGCAAUUCCAAAGGGAUUCACCAAAUAUUCCCAUUUAGGACUACUACAGCUGAAAUCCACAGUAACAGUCAUGGGUACUUCAGUAAGCAAUUUGUUUUAAGAUGCUUAAAAAAUCAGUUGAUCCUCAAAAUUGGUGGGCCCCAGAAUGCAGACACAGGUCUUGAGUACAUUUUCCCUUUAAGGAAACAUGGAAAACAUGUUGAUCUGUGCUAUGAUUGAAAAGCAGAGCCUCAGAUGCUGAACUCCCUGCUGGUGAAUGUACAGUCUCUGGAAAAAUAAAAAUGGAGACAUCAGUGCAGGAUUACAGUACCAGAGGGACAUCAUGGAAACAUGAUGCGGUCUCACCAUUCGGACACAGCAAGGCAGCCUGAGAGCUUCAAUAUACACUGCAAAGACUAAACAGUUGAGUGUUAAAGGUUGAGGAGGUAGCACAUACUUCAUGAUUAACUCAUCAUGGUGCACAGAUGUGGAUGUUCUAUCCCAAUCCUUCAGUCCUGGACCUGAAAUAUCCAGUGGUCAACUGUCCUCCAUUUUAUAUGCCAAGGGAGUUUUUUGCCCUCAUCCAGUAGCAGUGCAUAUUCCAUCCCCGAUCAAUGUCAGGUAUGAUCAUGGCUGAGUGUCAUGAUUAACUGUCAGAAAUCAGCGCACCCUGAUGCCCUCCUUAUUGCGGGGAUUUCAACCAGGCCAGCUUGAAGGAUUCUCUGAUCGACUACCAACAACGCAUCACCUGUGGAACCACUUGACCACUGUUACACACCAUCAAAAUUACUUAAUUUGCCAUCUUUGGAAAGUCUGAUCACCAGGCUGUAUGUCUACUCCCAGCAUACAGACAGACUGAAGACCACAGCCCAGUGAUGAGGACGAUGAAGGUAAGGUUAAGGAAACAAAGGAGAUGCUUUCAUGACUGCUUUGAGUCAGUGGACUGGACGAUAUUUGGAGAUUCAUCAUUGGAUCCGAAUAAAUAUGCUACAGUUGUCACUGACUUCAUCAAGACCUGUGUGGAUGAAUGUGUGCAUUCAAGAACAGGAUGAGUGUGUGCCUUUGAGAACAUAGUAGACAUACCCAAACCAAAAGCCAUGGAUGAACCAUGAGGUUCGUAGUCUGCUGAGGACUAGAUAGCCACACAAAAUGCUGGAGGAACUCAGCAGUGUCUAAGGAAAAGAAUAAAAAGUUGAUGUUUUGGGCUGAGACCCUUCUUCAGGACUGAGAAAGAAGGGGGAAGAUACCAGAAUAAAAAGGUGGGGGGGGGAGGGGAAAGAGGCUAGUUGAAACUCUUCAUCAGGACUGGAAUAAAAGACAGGAAGUCAGAGUAGAUGAGGGCCUCAUUCUGAAACGUUGACUGUUUACUUUUUUCAAUAGAUGCUGCCUGACCUGGUGUGUGUUGCUUGGUUUUACAGAAUCUGCACAUUUUCUUAUGUUUGUGAGGGCUAGAUAUGUGGUAUUCAAGACCAGAUUUAUCCAAGAAGCCCAGGAACAACCUAUGGAAGAGUAGUUUAAGAGUGGGAAAAUAAAACAUCUCUGUUUGAAGUUACGGGCAGCAUUGGCAGUUUUCAAACAAUUACAUCCUACAAGGUGAAGCUUACCAUCAUGAACGGCUGUGUUGUUUCCCUCCCAGUUGAGCUAAAUGCCUUGGAUGCACACUUUGAAAGGGAGAAUAUAAUGACGUGCGCAAAUCCCUGCAUUAUCUGGUGACCCGGCAAUCUCUGUCUUGAAUGCUGAUGUCAGGUUAUCUUUCAAGAGAGUGAAUGUUCGCAAGGCGUCAAGCCCUGAUGGUGUACCCAAAAGGGCACUGAAAACCUGUGCCAACCAACUGAUGUGAGUGUUCAAAGACAUCUUCAGUCUGAAUGGACAAUGAACCUAUGUAUGCUACCUCACUACUUUUUCUUUUGAUUUUUUUGCACUAUUUAUUUAUUGUAAUUUACUGUUUUUAUUAUUAUGUAUUGCAUUGUACUGCUGCUGCAAAACAAAUUUUACAACAUAUGCCAGUGAUAUUAAACUCUGGACAAGGGGAUCAGGGAGUACAUGAUCCCUGCAGAAAGUCAGAAGUGGGGUGGAGAAGGGAGUUAAAGAUGUGCUUAGAAGUAGGAUGUGGUUGAAAAUGGCGGAAUUUGUGAAGAAUGGUGUACUAGAUGCAGAGGAUCAUAAGGUGGUAGAUAAGGACAAGAGGAACUCUAUCCCUGUUACGGCAACUGUUAUAGAUGUUCUAUUUAGAACAUCUGAGAUGUCCUCCUCCAUCAAUGAAUGGGAUUUCCCUUCCUCUACUAUUGAUGCUCCUCCAUUUCCAAAACCUCUGCCCUCACCCCAUCUUUCAGCUGCCAUAACAGGGAUAAAGUUUCCAGUCAUUUCUCCCCCUUCCCCCUUCUCUCUUUUUCUAUUCUCCAUUCUGACUCCCAUCUUACCCUGUCUCCUUACCUGUCUGUCACUUCUGGGCCCCUCCUCCUUUCUUUUCUCCUAUGGUUCACUCUCCUCUCCCAUCAGAUUCCUUCUUCAACUCUUUACCUUUUCCACCUGUCACCUCCCAUUUAAUCUCCCCUGCGCCACUCACUAACCUUUCCUCCCACUCGGCUUCACCUAUCACCGGCCAGCUCAAACUCCUUCCCACCCCUCACUUUCUGGCUUCAUCUGCAUUCCUUCCCAGUGCUGAUUAAGUGUUGACCCAUUGAUGCUGCCUGACCUGCUGAUUUUCUCCAGCAUUUUGUGUGCUAUUACGUAUUCACAAGAUUGCUGUCAUUACUCAUGUUAGGACAGAGAAGAGGCUGUGAAAUUGUAAUACCAGAGAGGAGUGGAACUUGUGAGAGCCAAUAGUUAGGCAAUGGUCAGCAGUAGACUGUAGUUCUAAUUCUUCUGUUUAGAUGGACAAAUAAUCAGGAGGUCAGCUGUUCACUGCUCAAGGUCUCCCUCCUCAACGAGAAACUGGCUGGAUGAUGAGUCUUGAAAAGGAUAAUGUGUCUUUAAUGGAAAUAUAGAUUCCAGUUACAACAAAGGAUGUGUGACACCAUAUUUCUGAGUACAUGUAAUGGAGUUUAAAGUAGGCUGUAUUUAUGAAAAUCAUUACAAUUAAAAUUGUUU
Molecule: long non-coding RNA, 5493 nt
Organism: Hypanus sabinus (Atlantic stingray)
Lineage: Eukaryota; Metazoa; Chordata; Chondrichthyes; Myliobatiformes; Dasyatidae
Exons: 5
Source: RefSeq, a predicted model, not a curated record